This 640-nucleotide long non-coding RNA is filed under the name Ananas comosus (pineapple). RNAcentral describes it as "long non-coding RNA (ACOM_LNC010837)". Lineage: Eukaryota; Viridiplantae; Streptophyta; Magnoliopsida; Poales; Bromeliaceae. The record is from RNAcentral.
AAAAAAAAAAAAUGGCCCCCAAUUUCGAACUAUUUACCUAUCUAGCCUCUUUACAAAAAAAUAUUCCCUAUCUAGCCUUCUUUUGAAAAAUAUUCCCCAUAUAGCAUCAUUUUCAAAGAUUAGAGAAAAAAAGAGAAAUUAAUACUUUUAAUAUAUAUUAAGGGGUAAAGUGGGGGAGAUUAUCUUUUUCUCUCUCCUCUCCUAUUUCCCGAGAUCCCUUCUCACUCUCUAAUUUUUGCGUAUAAUUUAUCUCAUAUCGAUUUAUUUCAAAAUAGAAAAUUUUUAUAUAGCGCAUCAAUUUUUUAAUAUUUUGAUGAAAAUAUUAUACAUGGUUCGGAAGGAAUUGAUUAUAAUAAUCCUGAUCCAAAACUAUUUGGAUUUCUCGUACUUUAGGUUUUAAUACAUUAAAAUAUAAAAUUUAUAGGCUGAAUGGGAUCAAGAUUAUUUUGAUAUAAAAAUUAAUGGGAGAGGAGAGAGAAAAAGAUAAUCUCCCCCAUUUAACCCCUUAAUAUAUAUUAAAGGAAUUAAUUUCUCUUUUUUUCUCUAAUCUUUGAAGAUGAGGCUAGAUAGGGAGUUUUUUUAAAAGGAGGCUAGAUAGGAAAUAUUUUUUUUGUAAAGAAGCUAGAUAGGUAAAUAGUUC